Molecule: ribosomal RNA, 421 nt
Filed under: uncultured bacterium
Lineage: Bacteria
Description: partial 16S ribosomal RNA
Rfam family: Bacterial small subunit ribosomal RNA
Source: RNAcentral
AAUAUUGGACAAUGGGGGCAACCCUGAUCCAGCCAUGCCGCGUGUGUGAAGCAGGUCUUCGGAUUGUAAAGCACUUUAAGGUGGGAGGAAGGGCUUUAGGUUAAUACCCUUAAGUUUUGACGUUACCAACAGAAUAAGCACCGGCUAACUCUGUGCCAGAAGCCGCGGUAAUACAGAGGGUGCAAGCGUUAAUCGGAAUUACUGGGUGAAAAGCGGGCGUAGGUGGUUCAGUAAGAUGGGUGUGAAAUCCCCGGGCGUAACCUGGGAACUGCUUUCAUAACUGCUGAGCUAGAGUACGGUAGAGGGUAGUGGAAUUUCCUGUGUAGCGGUGAAAUGCGUAGAUAUAGGAAGGAACACCAGUGGCGAAGGCGACUACCUGGACUGAUACUGACACUGAGGUGCGAAAGCGUGGGGAGCAAAC